CAGUGAGCCGAGAUCGCAGCACUGCACUCCAGCCUGGGGAACAGAGCAAGACUCUGCCUCAAAAAAAAAGAAAGAAAAGAAAAAGCUUCCACUUUCGAAGAUCCCCCAGUCAUUCCGGUGGAUGAGCAGAUAUGAACACAGAGUCAUGGUCCUGACCAGAAAAUAACAUCUAAGUGUACAACAGAAGAAAGAAAACUAGAGGUCCCACAACUAUUUCUCAGCAAGCUGUCACUGACUGAUAAACUGGUGAUAGAAGUCAGCCCUUCCAUAGCAUAACAUUAUAACUGAAAGUAUCUUAGAGGUCCCAUAAAAAGCAGGAACUACAGAACUACUUGGACAAAAUGUAUGUCAAAAUCAUCCACCAAUAAAACCUGAUGUAUU
This is a long non-coding RNA of Sapajus apella (tufted capuchin), 381 nucleotides long. RefSeq lists it as uncharacterized. The record is from RefSeq and is a predicted model, not a curated record. Lineage: Eukaryota; Metazoa; Chordata; Mammalia; Primates; Cebidae. The transcript has 2 exons.